Molecule: ribosomal RNA, 250 nt
Filed under: uncultured bacterium
Lineage: Bacteria
Description: partial 16S ribosomal RNA
Rfam family: Bacterial small subunit ribosomal RNA
Source: RNAcentral
CAGACAGUGCGAGCGUUAUUCGGCAUUAAAUGGGCGUAAAGGGUAUGUAGGUGGUCAUGUAACUAAAUCUAAAUGCUGGAGUAAUAACUGUAGCGUAGGAUUUAUUAAUGAUGUGACUAGAGUUAUUGAUGUGUGAGCGGAAUUUCUUGUGUUAACAUUUAAAUGUCGUCAUAUAAGAAGGAACACCAAAGCGAAGGCAGCUUUCAAAUUUAACUGACACUGAGGUACGAAGCGUAGGAGCAAACAGGUU